AUAUGUUAUGAUGAAGCAUGAUUGACCAUAUUGAUUUCAUGCUGCAUUAUAUUGAUUAAUUUUGAUACUACAUGAUUAUAUAUUUUCUUAUCGAAAUUAGAAUAUGAAAUAUGAUUUAUGAAGAAUUCUGAUAUAAGAACAAUAUGAAUUGACAACCUAACUAUGUAAAGGACCCCGCCAAUGGGAGCAUAUACGCUGGUAAUUAAUUUAUCCUGAGGGUUUAUGUCACCAGAGAGACCAGCGAUAUAUUGUCAGAGAGACCAGCGAUUUCUUAGGACUUUACUGCCAGAUGAUUCGCAGCUCACCAUAAGAAGAUACGUGGUAUUAUGACCCUG
This 335-nucleotide long non-coding RNA is filed under the name Elaeis guineensis (African oil palm). RNAcentral's name for it is "long non-coding RNA (EGUI_LNC043836)". The record is from RNAcentral. Lineage: Eukaryota; Viridiplantae; Streptophyta; Magnoliopsida; Arecales; Arecaceae.